UACAGAGGGUGCAAGCGUUGUUCGGAAUCAUUGGGCGUAAAGGGCGUGUAGGCGGUCUGUUAAGUCAUGUGUGAAAUCCCUCGGCUCAACCGGGGAACGACGCAUGAAACUGACAAGCUAGAGUACCAAAGAGGGGGGUGGAAUUCCCGGUGUAGCGGUGAAAUGCGCAGAUAUCAGGAGGAACACCGAUGGCGAAGGCAGGUCUCUGGGCCGAUACUGACGCUGAGGAGCGAAAGCGUGGGGAGCGAACAGG
Molecule: ribosomal RNA, 253 nt
Filed under: uncultured bacterium
Lineage: Bacteria
Description: partial 16S ribosomal RNA
Rfam family: Bacterial small subunit ribosomal RNA
Source: RNAcentral